This is a non-coding RNA of Paramuricea clavata, 450 nucleotides long. Lineage: Eukaryota; Metazoa; Cnidaria; Anthozoa; Malacalcyonacea; Plexauridae. The record is from the annotation of a GenBank genome assembly.
GUUAGGAAUGUGAUUGCAUUCAGCUGAAACAUGACACUUAAUGUUGAAGCUUGGAUCAAUGGUCUUGGUAAAAACAGAUCAUGUAAUUGCACUCUCCCCUUGACUACUAAAAUUGUCUGGCAUUAGAUAGAUUAAAAUAAUACAGUGAGGCAUAUCAAGAGACAUUGCCACUUGUGAAGGGUUAACAUGUGUAUAUGAUAUUUUAUUUAUUUAUUUUAUUUACCCCAAAACAGGAAGGGCGCACCCACAGAGCCGAAGCUCCAAUAACAGGUUCCCCGCUAUUUUUAUGAUGUAAAGAUGUAUAAUGUAUCAUGAUAAUAAUGUCAUCUUUUAUUUUGCAGAAAUUAUAUGUUUAAUAUACACAAGAGAUGGCACUGAGGCAUCAACAUGCAAUACCAUGCAUAACAACAUAAAUAAUUAUAUGAUUAUGAUAACUUUAUUGAAGUGUAA